Molecule: long non-coding RNA, 753 nt
Organism: Cryptomeria japonica (Japanese cedar)
Lineage: Eukaryota; Viridiplantae; Streptophyta; Pinopsida; Cupressales; Cupressaceae
Exons: 3
Source: RefSeq, a predicted model, not a curated record
AUAGGGCGAGGCAUAGAGCUGAAGAAAAUAGAGAAUGCAACGGGCAUGGCGUGCCACUUUUUCUCAACGGUGGAAGGUAUUGCUAAAAACGACGAAGGAGCUUUCUAUUCUCUUCUUUGUGAGGCCCCGGCUGCUAGCCUGAGGAUCAAAUUCGUUGCAGUCUUUCGCAAAUGUAUCUGUGGACGUUACAAAAAAAGAGGAUUUCGGAAUUUUGAGUAGGUAUGGUCUUUCUGGACCUGUUGAUUGCAAUCAAACAUUGCUUGUGCUGCUGGUAUUUCUCCUUUGGGCAGCUUUAUUGUAUUCGAUAGCAUAGAGAGGAUCUGCAAGACACCAUCCCACUCAUCUGCAUGGUUGAGGUGUGCAAGACAUUAUCCCACUCAUCUGCAUGGUUGAGCUUAAUAUGCAGAAAAGGACUCAUGGGGAUAAAAAUACAAAAUUUCAGCUUCUGCGCUGUAUGACACCAGUGAUGAAGCCAACUCUGCCAUCAAGAGUUGUUGGGGCUUGGAUCCUAAACCUAUUUGCAAUGACUCAAAUCCUCGACGAUGACACAUUUUAUGGAGAAACUUGUUUUGAUUAUAUUGUGAUGAAAAUCUCGGUCUUGUUCCAAAGCUCUAAUUCUACCGAAAACUAGAAGCGUGCUAUGGGAAACUAUGGAGAUUGAUUUCAUACUUGCCAAUUGCAUUUGGCUGAGUGUAAUCAGAUUCAUAGAGGAAAGUCCUUAGUUUCAAAUGUAAUGUAAUAUCCAUUAUAAGA